UACGGAGGGUGCAAGCGUUAUCCGGAUUCACUGGGUUUAAAGGGUGCGUGGGCGGGCAGUUAAGUCAGUGGUGAAAUCCUUGAGCUCAACUCGAGAACUGCCAUUGAUACUAUCUGUCUUGAAUAUUGUGGAGGUAAGCGGAAUAUGUCAUGUAGCGGUGAAAUGCUUAGAUAUGACAUAGAACACCGAUUGCGAAGGCAGCUUACUACGCAUAUAUUGACGCUGAGGCACGAAAGCGUGGGGAUCAAACAGG
Molecule: ribosomal RNA, 253 nt
Filed under: uncultured bacterium
Lineage: Bacteria
Description: partial 16S ribosomal RNA
Rfam family: Bacterial small subunit ribosomal RNA
Source: RNAcentral